GUUGGACGAGAUAUUAACUGUUUCAUCUUAAUUUUUUUUUGAAUUUAAUUUUUUAGUCAAAAAGCUAAAAUUUAUUUAAAAGACGAGAAGACCCUAUAAAUCUUUAUAUUGGAAUUAUUAUUAUUAUUUAGAUUUAUUUUAUAAUAAUAGUUAAUAAUAUUUUAUUGGGGUGAUAUUAAAAUUUAUAAAACUUUUAAUUUUUUGUUACAUUAAUUUAUGAAUAAAUGAUCCAUUUUUAGUGAUUAAAAAUACAAGUUACUUUAGGGAUAACAG
RNAcentral lists this ribosomal RNA (273 nucleotides) under Tachina ursina. RNAcentral describes it as "partial 16S ribosomal RNA". The record is from RNAcentral. Lineage: Eukaryota; Metazoa; Arthropoda; Insecta; Diptera; Tachinidae.